AGAAAGGUAAGCUAAAUAAAGCUACCAGGUUCAUACCCUGUUUAUAGAGAAAAACUCUCCUUUCUA
This 66-nucleotide transfer RNA is filed under the name Aelia fieberi. RNAcentral describes it as "tRNA-Met". Lineage: Eukaryota; Metazoa; Arthropoda; Insecta; Hemiptera; Pentatomidae. The record is from RNAcentral.